GGCCUAACACAUGCAAGUCGAGCGGUAGAGAGAAGCUUGCUUCUCUUGAGAGCGGCGGACGGGUGAGUAAUGCCUAGGAAUCUGCCUGGUAGUGGGGGAUAACGUUCGGAAACGGACGCUAAUACCGCAUACGUCCUACGGGAGAAAGCAGGGGACCUUCGGGCCUUGCGCUAUCAGAUGAGCCUAGGUCGGAUUAGCUAGUUGGUGAGGUAAUGGCUCACCAAGGCGACGAUCCGUAACUGGUCUGAGAGGAUGAUCAGUCACACUGGAACUGAGACACGGUCCAGACUCCUACGGGAGGCAGCAGUGGGGAAUAUUGGACAAUGGGCGAAAGCCUGAUCCAGCCAUGCCGCGUGUGUGAAGAAGGUCUUCGGAUUGUAAAGCACUUUAAGUUGGGAGGAAGGGUUGUAGAUUAAUACUCUGCAAUUUUGACGUUACCGACAGAAUAAGCACCGGCUAACUCUGUGCCAGCAGCCGCGGUAAUACAGAGGGUGCAAGCGUUAAUCGGAAUUACUGGGCGUAAAGCGCGCGUAGGUGGUUUGUUAAGUUGGAUGUGAAAUCCCCGGGCUCAACCUGGGAACUGCAUUCAAAACUGACUGACUAGAGUAUGGUAGAGGGUGGUGGAAUUUCCUGUGUAGCGGUGAAAUGCGUAGAUAUAGGAAGGAACACCAGUGGCGAAGGCGACCACCUGGACUAAUACUGACACUGAGGUGCGAAAGCGUGGGG
This 726-nucleotide ribosomal RNA is filed under the name uncultured bacterium. RNAcentral describes it as "bacterial SSU rRNA". It matches the Rfam family "Bacterial small subunit ribosomal RNA", at positions 45 to 766 of the family's 1533-position model. The record is from RNAcentral.